AAGAACCAACAAAAAAGAAAAUUAGAAUAGAACAUGGCAACUCACCCAGCAGUUCAGAAAUCUGGUGCUAACCUGCACUUUCUUCAGUUCAAUAACCUGGCUUGUGAACCAGCUUCAGGAAAGGUAAGCACAUUAAAAACACACAUUAGAUGAUAGAACUACUCAAGCCAAGUCAAGCCACAGAUAUUCUCAGCAUGGGGGACGAAACAGGAGUGGAAGGACUGUGUAUGUGUGUGUGGUUAAAUAUAUGAAUACAUUAAAUAUAUGAAUACAUUCAAGGUAUAUUCUGGUUUAUAUUCUCCAAACAUAUUUUACACAGAAAUAAAUAUACUGAGAAAUAUUCACAAAUAAUUUCCCCAGUGCUAUGUAUACACCUGUGUGUUUUUUUUUUUUUUUUUAAACAAAUAAGUUUAAUUGAUUUCCCUGUAGAGGGACAAAAAAGUAUAAUCAAGACACAAACUAGUAACUUAAAGUACAGUAUGUAUAUUAUCAUGCUAGGGGAAUAUUCUCAAAGAUGUUUAUUCCAUCUGUAUUUACUCCUAUUUUACAAAAAGAUAAAAAUCCAUGUUUAACUCCUAAACCUUUUUACAAUGUUCUAUUGGGUCAUAUUAACUAAAACUUUUCUGAAGUGUAAGUAUUCUCAUACGUUAAACAGUGCUUUGAAAAGUGAGAAUACACUUCUAUCCCUGUUAUCAAACUACCCAUUGAAGUAAAUCGUUCAUGAAUCACGCAGUACAUAAAUAUUAGAAGCCGUGUUCAUUUAAAAAAAAAAAAAAAAGCUGUGUUGUCUUUCAUUAAUGUGGUAACUUCUUUUGAAAACACUGCAGGCAUCUCUAAAUAUGUAAUGUUUUGUGAACAUCCCUAGAAAAUGUAUCUAUUUAAAAACUACUCUUUUGUAGAUGGUUGGAUUGCCUGUAUAAAGGUUUAUGGCAUAAGAGAAAGAGACUGGGCUGCUGUCUCUCCAGAUGAGAAAGUGGACCUGGCAAGCCUAGUAAAUGGAGGCAUCUGUGUUGGCUUCAGUGAAUGCUCACUUUGGUCACACACGAAAUUUCAUUCUCCUUGGUUUUACUUUUUCAAAAAUUAUGCAGUGUGCUCAUUUCCAUGUAUGUAGUUUGUAAAUAAUUCAAGUGUUAAAGUCCAAUAAUAAGGUAAAAUAUAACAACACACUCACUUAUUUUACCUCAGAAUGUAUAAUUGAAUGUUUAGAGUUGAGGGUGAUAUUUUACAAUAAUGUAUCUAAAAGCAUUCCAAUUUCCCAUAACUUUAUUAAUAUCCUUUUUUUUUUUGCGCUAGAGCCUUGUUGUAAAUACUGUUACGUAUAAGUAAGGAGGUUGCUCUACCCUGUUUAAAUAAAUAAAAAAAAAUAUAUAAAAAUACAAUAAACUACUAUGUCUGACUAAAUUCUAAGGGUCAAGUUUAUAUUUUUGGUUCAAUACAUUUUUAAAAUGUCUUUUAAUGCAAUGUCUGAUUCUUCGCAGGAUGAGGAAGGGCCACCAGUAUUAAUGGUAAUACACGUUUUGUAGGGUCCUUAUAGUCUAACCGUCAUUGUAAUAUUCUUGUUAGAAUUGUUUACUUUCUUUUCAGCUUGAUGGUCUGUUACAAGUGCCUGGAAGUGAAUGAUCGGUGUUUAGAUUGGGCCACCCUGGAGUGACAACACACAUAGAGAUUGAUAAUAACCACUUCAAAGAUAAAAACUCUACAAAGCAAAAACAAAACAAAAAAACCCAUAUUAUACUACUAAAAAAUUUUAAUAUUAACCUAGCAGUAACAGAGCAAGUGCUUUAGUAUAACAAGGUCCAACUGCUGUUACUUGUCUAUUGCAAGGUAACUUCCCAGACUCUUGGACACUUGAAGCCUGUGUGAUGACACCAGAAGAAGAGAAAGAAAAGAUAAGCAUGAGGUGGAAGACCAAUCAGUGAUUUGAAUGGAAAAUUCUACUUCCAAAAACAAAGCUCAAAGCACAUCACCUGCAUUUCUUCAGUGGCAGCCCAACAGAGCUGAACUGGCUGAAGCUGUCACUCACGUGCAGCGCACUAUAGCUCCAGAUGGGGGCAUAAGUAGGGUGUGGCUCUGGGCUUACCUGAGUUCUCUGCCGAAAAAAAAAAAAAACUUUUACUGUCAACAAAAAUAAAAGGAGAGAGACCGAGAUAUAUGUGUUUGUUUAAUGUAUUUUAUGACAAGAUCUGUGAAAGAGUGAUGGAGCACAACCUCUUCCCACCAGCAAGACGGACGAGUAUGUGUCCAAACCAUCCUUUCACUAGCCGUUAGCAUUAGAUAAUAAGACAUAAGGAUUUGCUGGUAGAGGAUGUUUGGAGGUUCAAGCUCCCGAAACAAAGGGAAAACAUCCACUGUUCCCAAUCCAGACAGCCUUGGGAGCAUACGUGGAAGAGCUUUAUUAUCCUACAUCUUAGCCAGUCUUGUUACCUGCACACAGCAACAAAGAACCACAGAGAAAGAAGCCCGACUUGAGUCACUUCCAAUAGGACCUUGGUUUUACAUCUCAUCUGAAGGACAGAGCACAAGGAGGCUACGUGACUAGCUCAGAAUCAUACACAGUGAGUCAGUGACUGAGCUGGGAUUGAACCUGGAACCUGCUGGUAACAAGCACCUUUAUUUUAAGCACUGAAUCACCAAGGCUAGAUAACUAACGUUAAAAUAUGUUGAUCGAGGUAUCAGAUAGAUUCCCUCCUUAUGUUUGCAGUGUAUAUAAAGCUGUUAAACCACAGUUUCACCACAUUGGAUACAUUCUACGCAAAGUAAUUAGCAAAUUGAAUCCUGUCCAAAUGUAAAAUUAGCUAAUAUUAGCCCUGACUAGAUCUGUACAGCUUUUGCAAUGGACCAUUAUAUUAUGUUGAUUAGAGUAAUUCAUUUAGGGUUAUGUUGUGUGAUUUUGCAUAGAAAAUGUAAAUGAUAUAGCUAGUAAGUCAUGUACAGUAUGAAAUCUAGACUUAUUAUCCAGACUUUUUUUUUUAUUUUUAGACGGGGCAAAUAUACAUUUACUUUAAAUAUUUAAACUUGUUGGCUAUCCAGAAUAAUCCCCUUGAGUGUCGUAUACAAUGGUGUCCAAUUACAUCAAACAGAUUAUAUUCAUGUAGGCUGCAGUAACAUGUUGCUUAACUGUGUUUAGAAGUAUAGAAUUUAAAGAGCAAAAAGUGAACAUUUACUGGUUGGACUGGCUUUCUUUCUUACUUUCAUUGCAGAUAUCGCUAGUGAUUCACAGCAGAAUAAUUGUCUCUGCAAGAUGGAGACAAGUUCUCCAUGAAUCUUGCACUAUCAUUGUUUUUACAAAUGGGUUCCUCCAGUGCGGGUACUUAUACCACAGAACACUUUAAGAAAGAUACAUCCUGAAUUACUACCUCAAGAAAACAAAAGAUACAGUGUGUUCUUCUUUGAUGUAUAAAUCAAAGGAGGAAGGUGUAUUUAAAGCUCAGGCCAGAAGGGAGAUUCAUGGAGCAUGAUGAUACUGAUAUGAAGGUGGACUUGCCCAUUGAUGAGGUAUCCUUACAAGAAGGACAGGGGAAGAUAUUUGCUGAUCAGCAACACUGGACACUGUAACAAACUCAACUCUAGAGGUCAAUUAAAAUAAUUUUAAUUGCCUGAUCACAAUUAUAUUCCCACCCGCAAUAAGCCAUAUAUUAAAAAGACAAAACCAAAAAGCAAGAAGGUUUCUGAAGCAGAAAAUCACAUUACUCCAGAAGAGGGUCACGUUUCUCGGUGUGUCAGGUAUCCCAUAAAAACAAAUAAUUCAAAAGUGCACAGCCCCUGUCUACUAAACAAUAUUAUUACAGUAAUCAUUCUCAACAUGCCAUUGCCAUCUAUGUCAUAAAAUUGAUUGAUUUUGCAAAUCAAUGGCUGAGAUCAGAUUCAGCAGAAGCAGCAGAUAUAUAAAUUAAAAAAAAUAAAAAUAAUCCAGAGCACAACACUUGUCAACAAGUUCACAACACUCGUCACAUAGAACUAGAGAUCUCAUUGAGUCUAACUGUGGACAACCCUCUCACUCCUUUGUAUAGAAGCAGUAAUCAUAUUUCAUAGCAAUUUAUUUCCGUUUCUGUGAUAUGAAUCAUUCACUCAGAACUCAAUUAUUCUUUAAAAAAAUAUCUUCACUGUUUUCUUCAUACACAAAAUAGGAUCACCAUGAAUAAUAACCAAAUGGUUGACAGGCAAUGUAGCAAUAUUUUAUUUAUUUUUUUGCUGAUGUUUCUGAUCGGCUUGCUAAUAAUAUGAAACAUUGUUUUUCUGGUUUAUUGCAUCGGAAGGUUGUAAAACAAAUUCUUUGUAAAUAGAAAAUAGAAAUGGACUGCAGUAUUAUACACUGGGGUAUAAAAACAUGUAUAUGGAUUAACUCUUCCCUGUCUUGUACCUUGUUUUCAUGGACAGCCAGCUCGAGUUGACUCGAGCGCACUUGAAUUGGCAUGAAUCCUACCAGAACUCGAGUUGUUUCCAUGCUUUUCCGAGUUACCCGAGUUAUCACGUGAUUUAGGCAGGAAAUACAACAGAUUUCCCCCAGAAAUACUUGCAAGGUCAAGAUGUGCAUUUGCUGCAGACGUUAUUACACUCAACUUGUCAACGAUUUAAAAGUUAAAUCCAUCUAGAUAUUCUUUCACAUUUUUCACGCAGUACCUAUACCUCUGGCAGACUUGCUGGACAAGGGAAAAAAAUGUGUCAGAUGUCAAAGUAGAUAUGAGAAUGGCAGUGAUAAAGCACAUUUGCUUGAAAACAUUACAAUUAUUUCCAUCAAAGGAUUAACAGAAAUCUGGAAUUACUCUGAUGCGGUCAGAAAUCCAGAGGCAUUGUAAACUGCGCCUGCUACAGGACUGUUCUUUUUUAUGUUAAGCAUUUUUGUCUUCCUUUUCUUUUUACAAGAGUUUGAUUGAGUAACAGCCACAAUUGUUUAUAAGCCAGACUGUAACAAAAUGCUUGAUUGUUAUUGUCGAAACGACAACUAUUACUGAAAACAGUACCCACUGUGCAGGUCUCUCAAAGUCCCGAAAUGUUAAAAUAAACGAGUUCUCGAGUAAUUUAGAAGCGUGAAACAUCAGGACCGUACCAGGGUUAUGUGGUUAAUGGAAACUAGGCAUCAGUGUAUUUAAAUUUGAAGCCAUUUCACAUUUCAUGGCGAUUGUCCUAUUUUCUUGUAAAUUGCAAACAAUUUUUCUGAAGCAGUCACUCAUAAGAUGCUGUCACAAUUUUCUGCUUUCUGUUUUAAUAGAUUUUAAACAGACUUUCUGAACUUUCAGCUGAAUGGACAAAAACAGAGGGAAAGCUACAGUAGCUAACUCUGAGCCCCAAUGAAUACAAUGAAACAGCGUAUUAAACAAAAAUGUUCACAUCUUGACAGUAUGGUUUCAUAUUGGCAAAUUCUUUUUCCAGAAAUGUAUUAUAUAAUGAUGUAUUCAUUUUAAUAUUGCAUACACUGGCUGACACUUCGUCUGGCAAGUUUGCCUAAUUGCAGGGUUGAAUUAUUUAGUAACAGAAAUCCUGAGUGAGUUUCAGUGUAUAAUUAAGUCUUUUUUUUGUAAUUUUCUGAUAAAUUAUUUCAGGGUUUCUACCUAUACAGCUGGCAAACUAUGAAAUAUAAUUGCACUUGUGAGAAAAUUACUGUCCCAUGAGAUGAAUUUGUUUGCUGAUUAAACUGGGUAGACUAAAUUAAUAACACAAUGGUAUCCAUAUGGACUGCAAUACUCUAAGCUCUAUGCAGGGCUUUAUGUGUCUAUCUUCAUAACAAAAAUAUGCACCUUUUCAAUACAUUCAACAAAAUCAGCCAAAAGAAUCCAGACAACAACUGAAAUGAGUUGGACAAAAUUGGAAACACCUGCAAUAUGUAACACACACUUUAAUGUAAAUGGAAAGCCAUUAUCAUGAGAGAUACAGCUUCUCUUUGUGGGAAAACCAAGACACACCAGCAUUCUGUAAUGCAGCUCAGAGCUCCAACCACUAAACUGUCACUCACUAGUAAGCAAGAGAACCCCUUAUCCCACCCCUGUAAAUACAUUUAAAAAAAAAAAAAAAAAAAACAGGUCACAUUUAUAAAAUGUAGUUUAUGUAAUAAUCCAGAAAGGAAAUGUUUUAGAUAUGUCUAAAGUGAAUGCAAACUAUCCCCAUGUCUUAUAAACCUAUUAACAUGCAUUAAAGAUAAAAUCUACCCAGUGUACCCAUUAAAACAAUGAAUGACCAUAGCAAAUGCAACCUGAUGAGAGGGCAGAAAGGUUAGGCACACACUUUGGUGUAAUCAUUCUGCUUGUGUGCGAUCUUUUUAAAUGUAACCCAUACUAUUUAAAAAUGUCUACUUAACUCAAUGCUAAAAAAGAAAGUAAAAACAUAAAAGCCAUCUCAUCGUCAGAGCUUCGUAAAAUGUCAUGCUAUACAUUUUGAAACCCAAUGCAGCUCAUGACAAUCCAUGCGUAUACUACAUUAGCUCAAACAUGUCGUUUGGAAAAUGGAAAUGAGGAUGGGUGUGCUUGUCAUUCUGUUAAAUUAUGUAAAUUAACAACUACCUUUUUCUGCUCAAUAGCUUCACAGAUCAAAUGUGAGAACUAUUACCUCACCACAUAUGUUUGCCCGAGGAACUAUUAAUGUACAAAAUAUUCAAAUGGAUCUUACACUUAAUGUUGUUCUAUUUUUCUAUUAAAAUGAAUGUGUUCUACAUUCUGAAAGCUUCUGUGGCAGGGCAGAAGCCCGUCGUGUAAACAGAGAAUAAAUGUGUAACUAAAGAUUGGGCAUGUUUAAUGUAAGUUUGGCAGGGAUGGGGUUAGUUUCAUCCCUGCUAGAAUCCACUGGUGGAAUAUGACCAUUGCUAAAAACUUUUUGGUGCAGUUUGGAAGGAGUGGAAUGACAACGGCAGCACUGGUCAGCCCAGACAAGCACAAGCAUUAUUUUCAGCUUUAUUCAUUGUUUUUUUUUUUUUUUUUUGCUGUUGCGCGCGUUUAUUAACUAACACAAAAUAAAUAGGAAAAAAUAAAAACAGCACUUGGGCCAAAAUAAAAGCUUCAAACAAAACAAUUCAUAUCAUUCACAAUAAUACAUUCUACUCCUUCCAAACUUCCUGUAUCCUUAGCGUCCUGGAUAAUGCACCUGUUUAUUUGCUACAGAAGGAAAACAGUUGUUUAGAAACUUAGAGCAUAUCUAUAAUCAAUUCAUGUUUAAUAAUCCAUUAAUGAUAUAUGAAUUUACAUAUUAGUAAAGACCCAUAUGUAGUACUAUGUCUCCAUAACCCAUGAAGGAAAAUCUAGUUGCUCUAUUGCCUUUUCUUCAAUAGGGUUUUGUACAUGUAGAAAAUGUUGUGUUACCAUAAUGUGAAAUCCCCUUUCCUACCCCACACCCCGCUGCCCUUACUGUUGUCCAAAUGAACCUAUAAUGUUUUAAUUUUCUUUUUUUAAACUAUAUUCGAUAUGUCUCUGAUUGAAGUGACAGCUGCUCUGGCGCUGUUCAGCUAAUGAAGAGGAUGCCACUUCUUUCACAUAGCUGUGCAGCAGCAGAUAGUGGGUGCUUUAAAGACGUGUUUGAAUAGAGAAUCUCAGUCUGCUCUCAGAUGGAAAGCAGCUCAUUAUAAUUGACUGUGUUUCAUGACCUGCAUUUAGCGUGAGCAACAAAAUCCUCCAACAGUUGUGAUUAGCUUGUGGCCUCACAAUAAGAUUCCAGGAACAAGUUCAGCCCCUGUUAACAUGCUGCAUGGUUUUUAAAACAACCUUCUUCAUGAAAGCAGUCAGCACAUCCCUUAUAAAAGCACUAGGUAAAUCUCAAAGCACAGUAAAUAAAUAGUUGGGGGGUUGACGCUUGGAAUGGGAGAUGAGAGGAGGAGGGGCGAGAUCCAGAAUUCUAGGUGAAAAGGAAACUCUGCUUAUGUGUGAAUUAUUUACGUUUUUCUUUUGUUUUCUCGAUCUAUGUGGAAGUACAGACUUUCAGCGGCACAAAGAAGCAAGUCCUGGAUUUUCUGUUUUGUUUUGAUUUCGCCCUCAAUAAUUCCCUCCCUCACAGUUUUUGUUUUGUUUGUAAAUUAAAAUAAACCUUCUGUUAUUUUCAACUGCAA
Long non-coding RNA from Polyodon spathula (Mississippi paddlefish), 8026 nucleotides. RefSeq lists it as uncharacterized. Lineage: Eukaryota; Metazoa; Chordata; Actinopteri; Acipenseriformes; Polyodontidae. The record is from RefSeq and is a predicted model, not a curated record. The transcript has 10 exons.